Non-coding RNA from Chlorocebus sabaeus (green monkey), 1760 nucleotides. Lineage: Eukaryota; Metazoa; Chordata; Mammalia; Primates; Cercopithecidae. The record is from RefSeq and is a predicted model, not a curated record.
AAAUUUAUCAAUUUUUUCAUUUAUGGUUAGUGGGUUUUGUUUCUUAUUUAAGAAAUCUUCCUGGGCAGCCAUCUUGCUCUUGCUGCACACUGAAAUUGGAGGACCUUCUCUGCUUCAGAUUAACCAACAGCAUAAAUCAAGAAAAGUUAGCCAAACUUCUGGAUCAGGUCCAGACUGGCGGCAAGGGUACGACUCACAGAAAGAAGAUGGUACAAAGAACAGCUACAGCUGAUGACAAAAAGCUGGAGAAGAGCUCCAAGCUGCCCGACGGCCAGGUCAUCACCAUCGGCAACUAGCGGUUCCAGUGUCCGGAGGUACUGUUCCAGCCUUCCUUCCUGGGCAUGGAAUCCUGCGGAAUCCACAAGACCACGUUCAACUGCGUCAUGAAGUGUGAUGUGGACAUCUUCAAAGACCUGUACGCCAACACAGUGCUGUCCAGCGGCACCACCAUGUACCCGCACAUCGCCAACAGGAUGCAGAAGGCAAUCACUGCCCUGGCACUUGGCACCAUGAAGAUCAAGAUCAUUGCGCCCUGAGAGCGAAAGUACUGAAAGUAUUCAGUGUGGAUCGGCGGCUCCAUCCUGGCCUCACUGUCCACCUUCCAGCAGAUGUGGAUUAGCAAGCAGGAAUAUGACAAAUUGGGCCCCUCCAUUGUUCACCACAAAUGCUUCUAAAUAGACUGUGAGCAGAUGCAAAGCUUUUGCUGCAUUGGUUAAUUCAGAAGUAUAAAUUUGUCCCUGGCAAAUGCAUAUAUCACAAAUCUGGAAUAAGCCUUUGAAAAGAAACUGUCCUUGAAGCUAGUAUCUGAUAUCAGCACUGGAUCGUAGAACUUGUGGCUGAUUUUGACCUUGUAUUCAAGUUAACUGUUCCCCUUGGUAUUUGUUUAAUACCCUGUACAUAUCUUUGAUUUCCACCCUUAGUACAUGUGGCUUGGUCACUUCGUAGCUGACGUAAGAACAUGCUUGUGGAAGACAAGUCUGUGGCUUGGUGAGUCUGCGUGGCCAGCAGUCUCCGAUCUGUGCAGGGUAUUAAUGUGUCAGGACUGAGUGUUCUGGGAUUUCUCUAGAGGCUGGCAAGGGCUCCUGAACCAGUUGUUUCUGUCCUUUCAAUCAGACAAUCUGGAGAGUCACAACUGUAUCUAGAAAAACUGCCAGAAGCAAAAGUAAAUUCCAUAUGGAGGAAGAUACCAUCCAGAGCCUCAGGUUACAAAUUAGUGUUAUAAUUUUGCAAUCAUAACAUCCAGCACACAAUAAAAAAGUACUCAGGCAUACAAAGAGUUAAGAACAGACUGAAAACCAAGGGGGAAAAGCUGACUGUAAAGAAGAGACCAAGGGGAGACUGAAGUACUGGCAUUGUCAAAUCCAGACUAUAACUGAUUAAUUUGUUCAAAGCAAUAUAUGACAAUUGGAGCAUUUUGGCAGAAAAUUUGAAACUGCAAAAGUAAAUAAAAUGGAAAUUCUGGAAAUGAAAAAAAAAUUGGAAACAAUGCAAUGGAUAGGCUAAAGAGCAUAUUACACACAAGUGUGGAAUGUAGGUCAGAGGAAAAUAUCCAGACUGAGGUAGGUUAAGCAAAAGGAUAAAGAACACAGAGAAAAGCAUAAUACACAUACAAGGCAUUAUUAGGCUUGUGAAAUGGUCUAACACAGAGAUAACUGAAGUUUGAGAAAGAGAAGAGAGAAUGGAGCAGGACCAAUACAUAAAAAUAGAGUGGCCAAGUCAAUUUUCCAAAAUUGACUAAAGACAUCAAGUUGUAGGUUCAA